This 358-nucleotide ribosomal RNA is filed under the name Listeria monocytogenes. RNAcentral describes it as "partial 23S ribosomal RNA". It matches the Rfam family "Bacterial large subunit ribosomal RNA", at positions 328 to 688 of the family's 2925-position model. The record is from RNAcentral. Lineage: Bacteria; Bacillati; Bacillota; Bacilli; Caryophanales; Listeriaceae.
UAUAAAUGAAGCGGUCUGGAAAGGCCCGCCAAAGACGGUAACAGCCCGGUAGUUGAAAUGGCUUUCCCUCCAGAGUGGAUCCUGAGUACGGCGGAACACGUGAAAUUCCGUCGGAAUCCGGGAGGACCAUCUCCCAAGGCUAAAUACUCCCUAGUGACCGAUAGUGAACCAGUACCGUGAGGGAAAGGUGAAAAGCACCCCGGAAGGGGAGUGAAACAGUUCCUGAAACCGUGUGCCUACAAGUAGUUAGAGCCCGUUAAUGGGUGAUAGCGUGCCUUUUGUAGAAUGAACCGGCGAGUUACGAUUUGUUGCAAGGUUAAGCGGAAAAAGCGGAGCCGUAGCGAAAGCGAGUCUGAAU